Molecule: ribosomal RNA, 450 nt
Filed under: uncultured bacterium
Lineage: Bacteria
Description: partial 16S ribosomal RNA
Rfam family: Bacterial small subunit ribosomal RNA
Source: RNAcentral
GUGGGGAAUAUUGGACAAUGGGCGAAAGCCUGAUCCAGCCAUGCCGCGUGUGUGAAGAAGGUCUUCGGAUUGUAAAGCACUUUAAGUUGGGAGGAAGGGCAGUAAGUUAAUACCUUGCUGUUUUGACGUUACCGACAGAAUAAGCACCGGCUAACUUCGUGCCAGCAGCCGCGGUAAUACGAAGGGUGCAAGCGUUAAUCGGAAUUACUGGGCGUAAAGAGCGCGUAGGUGGUUUUGUAAGUUGGAGGUGAAAUCCCCGGGCUCAACCUGGGAACUGCCUCCAAAACUGCAUGACUAGAGUACGGUAGAGGGUAUUGGAAUUUCCUGUGUAGCGGUGAAAUGCGUAGAUAUAGGAAGGAACACCAGUGGCGAAGGCGACUACCUGGACUGAUACUGACACUGAGGUGCGAAAGCGUGGGGAGCAAACAGGAUUAGAAACCCGGGUAGUCC